Molecule: ribosomal RNA, 446 nt
Filed under: uncultured bacterium
Lineage: Bacteria
Description: bacterial SSU rRNA
Rfam family: Bacterial small subunit ribosomal RNA
Source: RNAcentral
GGCCAGACUCCUACGGGAGGCAGCAGUGGGGAAUAUUGCACAAUGGGGGGAACCCUGAUGCAGCGACGCCGCGUGGGUGAAGGAGUCCUUCGGUACGUAAAGCCCUAUCAGCAGGAAAGAAAAUGACGGUACCUGACUAAGAAGCCCCGGCUAACUACGUGCCAGCAGCCGCGGUAAUACGUAGGGGGCAAGCGUUAUCCGGAUUCACUGGGUGUAAAGGGAGCGUAGACGGCGACGCAAGUCUGGAGUGAAAGCCCGGGGCCCAACCCCGGGACUGCUCUGGAAACUGCGUCGCUGGAGUACGGGAGGGGCAGGCGGAAUUCCUGGUGUAGCGGUGAAAUGCGUAGAUAUCAGGAGGAACACCGGUGGCGAAGGCGGCCUGCUGGACUGCAACUGACGUUGAGGCCCGAAAGCGUGGGGAGCAAACAGGAUUAGAUACCCCGGUA